RNAcentral lists this ribosomal RNA (496 nucleotides) under uncultured bacterium. Its description in RNAcentral is "bacterial SSU rRNA". It matches the Rfam family "Bacterial small subunit ribosomal RNA", at positions 32 to 518 of the family's 1533-position model. The record is from RNAcentral.
GACGCUAGCGACAGCCUAACACAUGCAAGGUCGAGGGCAGCACAAGGAGCAAUCUGGAGGUGGCCGGACCGGCGCGACGGGUGAGUAACACGUAUGCAACCUGCCUGUAAGCGGGGAACUAACCGUUAGAAAGACGGACUAAUACCGCAUAAUACUAAAUUACUGCAUGGUAAUUUAUUUAAACAUUUAUGGCUUACAGAUGGGCAUGCGCAUGAUUAGCUAGUUGGAGAGGUAACGGCUCCCCAAGGCAACGAUCAUUAGGGGUUCUGAGAGGAAGGUCCCCCCACACUGGUACUGAGACACGGACCAGACUCCUACGGGAGGCAGCAGUGAGGAAUAUUGGUCAAUGGACGAGAGUCUGAACCAGCCAAGUCGCGUGCAGGAAGAAUGUCCUAUGGAUUGUAAACUGCUUUUGCAGGGGAAUAAAGUGCAUCACGUGUGAUGUUUUGUAUGUACUCUGCGAAUAAGGAUCGGCUAACUCCGUGCCAGCCGCCGC